This 1149-nucleotide long non-coding RNA is filed under the name Rattus norvegicus (Norway rat). RNAcentral's name for it is "long non-coding RNA NONRATT009796". The record is from RNAcentral. Lineage: Eukaryota; Metazoa; Chordata; Mammalia; Rodentia; Muridae.
UUAACUUUAUAUAAAGAAGGGUUUCCUUGGCCUUUAUUAGCUUCACAUAUAUUCAUUCCAAAAGUAUAUCUGUCUUCCAGGAAGAAUAUAGAAUCAGGGUACAUUCAUUUUCUCAGAGUGAAGAAUGCAUAGAUAUUCAUGCAUAUUUUAAGCACCUCAUAAAUCAAGCUCAGCUGAAAACAUAUGGUAUUCCAGAAACUACCUGCUAAGUUGUUCUCAGGAGACAUUAGCAAAAGUAAAAACCCAAACCAAAAUGAAAGCAAACCAAAAUCCCAAGUCUCCCUUCUUCAUUCAUGUUUAGGAGAAUUUUCAUUUUCAAGGCAGAUAGAUACUACAAAAUUAACUGCUGUAGUUCACAGCUGGAUGUGAGGGGGUACUCCCAGGAAGUAUUUUGGUUUUAAAAAAUGAGGUACUCCAGGCUGUUUGUUAUCGAGGAAGCUAACUUUUCCUCAGUGGUACCUAUGAAGUCUUAAAAUUAGUCAGGGAACAGAUUGAGCCUACUGGGGAUUGCCGAGUUGAUGCUAAUGUUGGGAGUCUUUGAGAGAAACAGCAGAGAUCUGGUGGGAAACCUGGUUUGUAUGGCUGGCUAUCUCAGUAGCUAGCACUGUGUGGAAUGACACAACAACCAUUCUAAAGACCAGCAUCACUGUCCAUCAUACUUAGAGUUUGCACUAUAUUUCAAUUUAUUUUUAUAAUUCAUCAAAAAACAUUGUAGAUGGGAAAAAUGGAAUUAUCUUGGUGGUCUUCUUGGAAGGCCAUCUCUGUGGUAUUUGCUUGAUUUUGUUAUCUGGCAAUUUUCCAGAGUGGUCCAGUUCUAGGUCUGUGAGAAAAUGGGAAUAAAUGGUGCAUAAGAGAAACAUCAGAUGCAUACAUGGCAAAAUAUAUAAUUUUUAUGUUUAUGGUAAAGAUAAAACUGUUUAGUAUGACUCAUAUAUCUGUAUAGCCCAUUUGGGUAAGAAUUUUCCAAUACCCAAAGCAAAGAUUGCUACGCCAAGAUGCAUAGUUCAUUACCCAGUGAAGCCUGUGUGACUGUCUACUCUAUGGGAAUAAUUACUGUCAGAGCAAAAGAGAAUGGAAUAAUUACUGUCAGAGCAAAAGAGAAAAAGCAGUAAUAGCCCUUGACAUAGUUUGGUUUUUGACUAUCUCAUA